RNAcentral lists this ribosomal RNA (919 nucleotides) under uncultured Bacillota bacterium. RNAcentral describes it as "bacterial SSU rRNA". It matches the Rfam family "Bacterial small subunit ribosomal RNA", at positions 32 to 917 of the family's 1533-position model. Lineage: Bacteria; Bacillati; Bacillota. The record is from RNAcentral.
AACGCUGGCGGCGUGCCUAAUACAUGCAAGUCGAACGAAACUUCUUUAUCACCGAGUGCUUGCACUCACCGAUAAAGAGUUGAGUGGCGAACGGGUGAGUAACACGUGGGCAACCUGCCCAAAAGAGGGGGAUAACACUUGGAGACAGGUGCUAAUACCGCAUAACCAUAGUUACCGCGUGGUAACUAUGUAAAAGGUGGCUAUGCUACCGCUUUUGGAUGGGCCCGCGGCGCAUUAGCUGGUUGGUGGGGUAAAGGCUUACCAAGGCAAUGAUGCGUAGCCGAACUGAGAGGUUGAUCGGCCACAUUGGGACUGAGACACGGCCCAAACUCCUACGGGAGGCAGCAGUAGGGAAUCUUCCACAAUGGGCGAAAGCCUGAUGGAGCAACGCCGCGUGGGUGAAGAAGGUCUUCGGAUCGUAAAACCCUGUUGUUAGAGAAGAAAGUGCGUGAGAGUAACUGUUCACGUUUCGACGGUAUCUAACCAGAAAGCCACGGCUAACUACGUGCCAGCAGCCGCGGUAAUACGUAGGUGGCAAGCGUUAUCCGGAUUUAUUGGGCGUAAAGGGAACGCAGGCGGUCUUUUAAGUCUGAUGUGAAAGCCUUCGGCUUAACCGGAGUAGUGCAUUGGAAACUGGGAGACUUGAGUGCAGAAGAGGAGAGUGGAACUCCAUGUGUAGCGGUGAAAUGUGUAGAUAUAUGGAAGAACACCAGUGGCGAAAGCGGCUCUCUGGUCUGUAACUGACGCUGAGGUUCGAAAGCGUGGGUAGCAAACAGGAUUAGAUACCCUGGUAGUCCACGCCGUAAACGAUGAAUGCUAAGUGUUGGAGGGUUUCCGCCCUUCAGUGCUGCAGCUAACGCAAUAAGCAUUCCGCCUGGGGAGUACGACCGCAAGGUUGCAACUCAAAGGAAUUGACGGA